CUUGUUCUGCCUUGUAAACCUCAUGUAUAGAAGAAGACAAUCAAUAACGGACCAGCAAGAUGGCUAAGCAAGGGGGAGGAGGUUGUACAGAUGUGAGCUGGUUGGCGAGUGUUAUUUAUCAAAUGGCUGCCAAAAUGAACGUAAUAUCUAUAGCUGCAGUGUUCUCUUGAAUCCGACCAAAUCAUUUUCUGACAUUUCCUUUUAAAUGCUUUUCCUUUCGGGUAAUUUGUUUCUUCCAACUCUGCUUUUAAGUGUUAGGUGUUCUCUUGGAUGUUGUAUUUUAUAGAUAAAUAUAAUACAUGAUUCUCCUCUCUACAACCAAGCUCACGCCUCUUGGGCACUAAUAUGGUUGGAAAUUGGCAUGCAAGUUAGCCUAUUUUAGACUAGGUUUAUUAAUUAUAUGAAUUGUGCUCACCUAAUUUGUUUUGGAUAGACUACAUAAAUCUAGGAUCUUCAUCUCUAUCAGGACAAAAUAAAGCUCUCCAAGUCUGGACCUCUUGCAUUGAAGUACAAAUGAGGCAAUUUUCUUCUUUACCUUUGGUAAUCUGGUGGAGUUGACAAGGGAGGGUCUUCUCUUGGAGGAUUCUUGGUAAUCCAAUGCGAUUAAUUUUAACCAAACAAGGAAAGAGAAAAAAGAUCUGCCUUAUGGGAAUGCAGAUAUUCAUCUAAUGGAUCGCAUGAAUUGUAGUCGCCUCAAAAAUAAUUGAGCAUUCAUUGCAAGUAUUGCCAAUUUUUUAGAAGUUUGAGCAAUAGAUCAACUUCUUGUGGAUUAGUGCUUGUCUUAAGCCAGUUGUUGAUUUUCGGAGUGCAACCAUUUACCUGAAAGGGGAAUGUGAACUCAAGUACAUAGAAAGGUUGAGUUUGUCGCCAGAGUGGACUCUUAUGUGGUCAUGAUACUAAUGUCGAGGAGGAUCAAGAUUGAUAUGUUUUGUCAACUUUCAAAUUAAGGUAGACAACUUGACUUGUGCUCCGACUCGAUAUUAGUUCAUUUUCAAUACUUUCAAUACUAACAUAAACAUCAGGGUGAAUAA
Non-coding RNA from Benincasa hispida (wax gourd), 1031 nucleotides. Lineage: Eukaryota; Viridiplantae; Streptophyta; Magnoliopsida; Cucurbitales; Cucurbitaceae. The record is from RefSeq and is a predicted model, not a curated record.